This 71-nucleotide transfer RNA is filed under the name Marmota monax (woodchuck). RNAcentral's name for it is "tRNA.Ala". The record is from RNAcentral. Lineage: Eukaryota; Metazoa; Chordata; Mammalia; Rodentia; Sciuridae.
GGGGUUGUGGCUUAGUGGCAGAGCACUUGCCUAGCAUGAAUGAGGCACUGGGUUCAAUCCUCAGCACCACA